This 392-nucleotide ribosomal RNA is filed under the name uncultured bacterium. Its description in RNAcentral is "partial 16S ribosomal RNA". It matches the Rfam family "Bacterial small subunit ribosomal RNA", at positions 523 to 918 of the family's 1533-position model. The record is from RNAcentral.
AUACGGAGGAUCCGAGCGUUAUCCGGAUUUAUUGGGUUUAAAGGGUGCGCAGGCGGCCAUUUAAGUCAGCGGUUAAAUCGUGGGGCUCAACCCCAUUCUGCCGUUGAUACUGGGUGGCUUGAUUGCGGUCGAGGUUGGCGGAAUUCGUUGUGUAGCGGUGAAAUGCAUAGAUAUGACGAAGAACACCGAUUGCGUAGGCAGCUGACCAGACCGCAAAUGACGCUCAUGCACGAAAGUGCGGGGAUCGAACAGGAUUGGAUACCCUGGUAGUCCGCACAGUAAACGAUGAAUACUUGUUUUCGGCGAUAUAAUGUCGGAGGCAAAGCGAAAGCGAUAAGUAUUCCACCUGGGGAGUACGCCGGCAACGGUGAAACUCAAAUGAAUUGGCGGGG